This 497-nucleotide ribosomal RNA is filed under the name uncultured bacterium. RNAcentral describes it as "partial 16S ribosomal RNA". It matches the Rfam family "Bacterial small subunit ribosomal RNA", at positions 28 to 507 of the family's 1533-position model. The record is from RNAcentral.
GAUGAACGCUGGCGGCGUGCCUAAUGCAUGCAAGUCGAGCGAACAGACGAGGAUCUUGCUCCUCUGACGUUAGCGGCGGACGGGUGAGUAACACGUGGAUAACCUACCUAUAAGACUGGGAUAACUUCGGGAAACCGGAGCUAAUACCGGAUAAUAUAUUGAACCGCAUGGUUCAAUAGUGAAAGACGGUUUUGCUGUCACUUAUAGAUGGAUCCGCGCCGCAUUAGCUAGUUGGUAAGGUAACGGCUUACCAAGGCAACGAUGCGUAGCCGACCUGAGAGGGUGAUCGGCCACACUGGAACUGAGACACGGUCCAGACUCCUACGGGAGGCAGCAGUAGGGAAUAUUACGCAAUGGGCGAAAGCCUGACGGAGCAACGCCGCGUGAGUGAUGAAGGUCUUCGGAUCGUAAAACUCUGUUAUUAGGGAAGAACAAAUGUGUAAGUAACUAUGCACGUCUUGACGGUACCUAAUCAGAAAGCCACGGCUAACUACGUG